Molecule: ribosomal RNA, 440 nt
Filed under: Escherichia coli
Lineage: Bacteria; Pseudomonadati; Pseudomonadota; Gammaproteobacteria; Enterobacterales; Enterobacteriaceae
Description: bacterial SSU rRNA
Rfam family: Bacterial small subunit ribosomal RNA
Source: RNAcentral
CCUACGGGCGGCUGCAGUGGGGAAUAUUGCACAAUGGGCGAAAGCCUGAUGCAGCGACGCCGCGUGAGCGAAGAAGUAUUUCGGUAUGUAAAGCUCUAUCAGCAGGGAAGAUAAUGACGGUACCUGACUAAGAAGCACCGGCUAAAUACGUGCCAGCAGCCGCGGUAAUACGUAUGGUGCAAGCGUUAUCCGGAUUUACUGGGUGUAAAGGGAGCGCAGGCGGUGCGGCAAGUCUGAUGUGAAAGCCCGGGGCUCAACCCCGGUACUGCAUUGGAAACUGUCGUACUAGAGUGUCGGAGGGGUAAGCGGAAUUCCUAGUGUAGCGGUGAAAUGCGUAGAUAUUAGGAGGAACACCAGUGGCGAAGGCGGCUUACUGGACGAUAACUGACGCUGAGGCUCGAAAGCGUGGGGAGCAAACAGGAUUAGAUACCCCAGUAGUC